GACGAACGUUGGCGGCGUGCUUAAUACAUGCCAGUCAACUGAAGCAGUGGUAGCAAUAUCGCUGUGGAGGUGGCGCACGGGUGAGUAACACGUAGGUAAUCUGCCUUCAGGUCUGGCAUAACUCCGGGAAACCGGGGCUCAUAGCAGAUGAUGCAGCGGCUCGACAUCGAGACAGUUGUUAAAGCUAUGGCGCCUGAAGAUGAGCCUGCGUCUGAUUAGCUAGUUGGCGGGGUAACGGCCCACCAAGGCAACGAUCAGUAGCUGGUCUGAGAGGAUGAUCAGACACACUGGAACUGAGACACGGUCCAGACUCCUACGGGAGGCAGCAGUAAGGAAUAUUGCUCAAUGGGAGAAAUCCUGAAGCAGCAACGCCGCGUGAGGGACGAAGGGCUUUUGCUUGUAAACCUCUGUAGUGAGAGAAAAAAAUCCCAAUCUUUGGGACAUGAUGGUAUCUCAAAAGUAAGCCCCGGCUAACUACGUG
Molecule: ribosomal RNA, 481 nt
Filed under: uncultured bacterium
Lineage: Bacteria
Description: partial 16S ribosomal RNA
Rfam family: Bacterial small subunit ribosomal RNA
Source: RNAcentral